RNAcentral lists this ribosomal RNA (253 nucleotides) under uncultured bacterium. RNAcentral's name for it is "partial 16S ribosomal RNA". It matches the Rfam family "Bacterial small subunit ribosomal RNA", at positions 524 to 776 of the family's 1533-position model. The record is from RNAcentral.
UACGAAGGGGGCUAGCGUUGCUCGGAAUGACUGGGCGUAAAGGGCGCGUAGGCGGAUGGUACAGUCAGAUGUGAAAUUCCUGGGCUCAACCUGGGGGCUGCAUUUGAUACGUGCUGUCUUGAGUUCGGAAGAGGGUCGUGGAAUUCCCAGUGUAGCGGUGAAAUGCGCAGAUAUCGGGAAGAACACCCGUGGCGAAGGCGGCUCUCUGGGACGGUACUGACGCUGAGACGCGAAAGCGUGGGGAGCGAACAGG